CCUAACCAUUAAGAAGCUAUACACAGCACUAGCCUUUUAAGCUAGAGAAAGAGGAUUACCAGCCCCUCCUUAAUGGU
RNAcentral lists this transfer RNA (77 nucleotides) under Metriopelia aymara. Its description in RNAcentral is "tRNA-Lys". It matches the Rfam family "tRNA". From Rfam's summary of the family: Transfer RNA (tRNA) molecules are approximately 80 nucleotides in length. Their secondary structure includes four short double-helical elements and three loops (D, anti-codon, and T loops). The record is from RNAcentral. Lineage: Eukaryota; Metazoa; Chordata; Aves; Columbiformes; Columbidae.